RNAcentral lists this long non-coding RNA (453 nucleotides) under Cyanistes caeruleus (blue tit). RNAcentral's name for it is "lncRNA (ENSCCEG00000001351.1)". Lineage: Eukaryota; Metazoa; Chordata; Aves; Passeriformes; Paridae. The record is from RNAcentral.
AUUUAUUUUUCAUUAGGAAGUAUCUUUUUAGAGUUACAGUGUUGACUCCAGAACCACCUCCUUCUGGAACCACAACUGAAGUAUUGACCUAAUAGAAGCUAACUCCUAUCUUAACAGCCACACUGUUUCACCUCUAGUUGCAGAGUGGGCUGCUUCAGGGAGCAGAGUUUGCUGCUGUGAGUGGCAAGCCAGGUUGGCACUGAAGUGGAUAACCCCAGCUCUAGUGAAGGAGCAAGGGCAAAUGUGGUUUUGUCUUGGUCCUACUGACCCCAGUGGAAGUCCAGGCUGCUAAAUGACUCACUCUUACCAUGCUUCAUCCUCGAACAGCUUUCUGCACUGAGUAUGUGUUUUGGAAACAAGCCAGCCUGAUCCUACAAAUCCUGUUUUUCUGUGUGAUUUGUUUUACAAGAGCACUCACAUGAGAUAUGGUGCAGGGAGGAAGGCGGGGGGGUC